CCUACGGGUGGCAGCAGUGAGGAAUAUUGGUCAAUGGCCGAGAGUCUGAACCAGCCAAGUAGCGUGAAGGAUGACUGCCCUAUGGGUUGUAAACUUCUUUUAUGAAGGAAUAAAACGAGGCACGUGUGCCUUUUUGCAUGUACUUUAUGAAUAAGGAUCGGCUAACUCCGUGCCAGCAGCCGCGGUAAUACGGAGGAUCCGAGCGUUAUCCGGAUUUAUUGGGGUUAAAGGGAGCGUAGGUGGGUUGUUCAGGCAGUGGUGAAAGUUUGCGGCUCAACCGUAAAAUUGCAAUUGAUACUGGCAGCCUUGAGUGCAGUUGAGGUAGGCGGAAUUCGUGGUGUAGCGGUGAAAUGCUCAGAUAUCACGAAGAACCCCGAUUGCGAAGGCAGCUUACUAAACUGUGACUGACACUGAUGCUCGAAAGUGUGGGUAUCAAACAGGAUUAGAUACCCGAGUAGUC
RNAcentral lists this ribosomal RNA (460 nucleotides) under uncultured bacterium. RNAcentral describes it as "partial 16S ribosomal RNA". It matches the Rfam family "Bacterial small subunit ribosomal RNA", at positions 338 to 795 of the family's 1533-position model. The record is from RNAcentral.